GACGAACGCUGGCGGCGUGCCUAAUACAUGCAAGUUGAGCGCUGAAGGUUGGUACUUGUACCAACUGGAUGAGCAGCGAACGGGUGAGUAACGCGUGGGGAAUCUGCCUUUGAGCGGGGGACAACAUUUGGAAACGAAUGCUAAUACCGCAUAAAAACUUUAAACACAAGUUUUAAGUUUGAAAGAUGCAAUUGCAUCACUCAAAGAUGAUCCCGCGUUGUAUUAGCUAGUUGGUGAGGUAAAGGCUCACCAAGGCGAUGAUACAUAGCCGACCUGAGAGGGUGAUCGGCCACAUUGGGAUUGAGACACGGCCCAAACUCCUACGGGAGGCAGCAGUAGGGAAUCUUCGGCAAUGGACGAAAGUCUGACCGAGCAACGCCGCGUGAGUGCAGAAGGUUUUCGGAUCGUAAAACUCUGUUGGUAGAGAAGAACGUUGGUGAGAGUGGAAAGCUCAUCAAGUGACGGUAACUACCCAGAAAGGGACGGCUAACUACGUG
This 497-nucleotide ribosomal RNA is filed under the name uncultured bacterium. Its description in RNAcentral is "partial 16S ribosomal RNA". It matches the Rfam family "Bacterial small subunit ribosomal RNA", at positions 28 to 507 of the family's 1533-position model. The record is from RNAcentral.